AAGCGGAGGAAAAGAAACCAACAGGGAUUGCCUUAGUAGCGGCGAGUGAAGCGGCAAAAGCUCAAAUUUGAAAUCGGCGUUAGUCGAGUUGUAAUUUGUAGACUGAAUUCUGAGAGCGACCUUGCUCAAGUUCUCUGGAACGAGACAUCAUGGAGGGUGAGAAUCCCGUGAUGCAAGGCCCCCGUUUUCAUGUAGAUUUCUGUCGACGAGUCGAGUUGUUUGGGAAUGCAGCUCUAAGUGGGUGGUAAAUUCCAUCUAAAGCUAAAUAUUGGCGAGAGACCGAUAGCGAACAAGUACUGUGAAGGAAAGAUGAAAAGAACUUUGAAAAGAGAGUGAAAUAGUAUGUGAAAUUGUUGAAAUGGAAGGGCUUUAGGUUAGACAUGGCGUUUUCUGUUCCACUUCAGUUCGCUGGGGUGUACUCAGGUUCCGCCGGGCCAGCAUCAGUUUUGGGUCGAGGAUAAAUGAUAAGGAAUGUGGCUCCUCGGAGUGUUAUAGCCUUGUUGCAUACUCGAUCUGGGACUGAGGCCUGCAUUUUUAGGAUGCUGGCGUAAUGACCUAAAGCCACCCGUCUUGAAACACGGACC
Molecule: ribosomal RNA, 584 nt
Filed under: Wickerhamiella sp. DG-2013
Lineage: Eukaryota; Fungi; Ascomycota; Dipodascomycetes; Dipodascales; Trichomonascaceae
Description: eukaryotic LSU rRNA
Rfam family: Eukaryotic large subunit ribosomal RNA
Source: RNAcentral